Molecule: ribosomal RNA, 616 nt
Filed under: Apolygus lucorum
Lineage: Eukaryota; Metazoa; Arthropoda; Insecta; Hemiptera; Miridae
Description: partial 16S ribosomal RNA
Rfam family: Archaeal large subunit ribosomal RNA (bases 148-305)
Source: RNAcentral
UUAUUUUUUAAUAAUUAAUUUUUAUAUAAUUUUUAUAUAAUUAAUAUUUUAGUUAUUUAUAGGAAUAAAUAUUAUAAUAUAAUAAUAUUUUAAUAAUGAUAAAAUAAGUAUUUUAUAUAUAUAAAAUAUAGUAACUCGGCAAAUAUUAUUUUCGCCUGUUUAACAAAAACAUGGUUUUUUGUUUAUAUAAAAGAUCUAACCUGCCCUAUGAUUUAUUUAAAUGGCUGCAGUAUUUUGACUGUACAAAGGUAGCAUAAUCAUUUGUCUUUUAAUUGAAGGCUUGUAUGAAUGGUUGGAUGAAAAAUAUACUUUCUUUAUUUUAUAUAAAAAAUUUAAUUUUCUAGUCAAAAAGCUAGGAUUUUUUUAUAGGACGAGAAGACCCUAUAGAACUUUAUUUUCUUUUUUUAUAAACUUUAUAGAUAAAUAUAAGUUUAUAUAUUUUUGUUAAUUUUGUUGGGGUGAUUGAAAAAAUUUUUUAACUUUUUCUAUUUUUUACAUUUAUAUAUGUUUUUUUGAUCCUUUAUUAUGGAAUAAAAGAUUAAGUUACCUUAGGGAUAACAGCGUUAUUUUUUUGGAGAGUUCUUAUCGAUAAAAAAGUUUGCGACCUCGAUGUUGG